AUUCCCUGUGAUGUUCAUCUAAACCAUGCUAAUGCUGAUAUGUGUUGAUGAUUAAUUAUUAAAUGUUAUUCUGAGGGAAUC
Molecule: small nucleolar RNA, 81 nt
Organism: Phoenix dactylifera (date palm)
Lineage: Eukaryota; Viridiplantae; Streptophyta; Magnoliopsida; Arecales; Arecaceae
Product: small nucleolar RNA snoR53Y
Source: RefSeq, a predicted model, not a curated record